This 24-nucleotide microRNA is filed under the name Callithrix jacchus (white-tufted-ear marmoset). Its description in RNAcentral is "cja-miR-9924". Lineage: Eukaryota; Metazoa; Chordata; Mammalia; Primates; Cebidae. The record is from miRBase by way of RNAcentral.
ACAGUGGGAUAUGAUGAGACGCUU